GUGCUCACUGCAGCAGCACAUAAUACUAAAAUUGGAAUGAUACAGAGAAGAUUAUCAUGGCCUCUGCACAGCGAUGACACGCAAACUAAUGAAGCAUUCCAUAUUUUU
Cavia porcellus (domestic guinea pig) is the source of this 108-nucleotide small nuclear RNA. NCBI's taxonomy places the organism in Eukaryota, Metazoa, Chordata, Mammalia, Rodentia, Caviidae. The record is from Ensembl.